RNAcentral lists this small RNA (424 nucleotides) under Histoplasma capsulatum var. duboisii H88. RNAcentral describes it as "Histoplasma capsulatum H88 hypothetical RNA". The record is from RNAcentral. Lineage: Eukaryota; Fungi; Ascomycota; Eurotiomycetes; Onygenales; Ajellomycetaceae.
UGGCGGAUUACUAGCAUGUUGUUCUCGGAGGCUGCUAGAGCGUCUCUUUAUCCUCGGUGCGGGCCUGGGUAGCUGAAGCCUGGGCAAGGUCACUGGACGCUUUCGAUAUUUGCCUCCACGCAACGCGACUCGCUACAAGCCUUCAGUUUGUAUUGUCAUUUCGAUUCCGGUGUAUAUCUACGAGGUACAUACUGGUAGUCACCGAUUAAUUUCCAGGUUGAUUACAACGUGCAAUAUGUGAGGUGGAAACUGGACAUAGCUUUGACUGUGUAUGUGGGGUAGCCCAAAAUUCUGUCGGAUCAUAGUAGCGUCGUUUUUUAUAUCCACUGCACAGUAAAUCUUGGCUGGAAAGCUUUCGGCGUUGAUUUUCACGUUGACCUUAGGGUACAUCCACAUUUCCACAGCGUAUAUGCUUUUGAUGAGG